GGGUUGUGAGGUUAAGCGACUAAGCGUACACGGUGGAUGCCCUGGCAGUCAGAGGCGAUGAAGGGCGUGCUAAUCUGCGAUAAGCGCCGGUAAGGUGAUAUGAACCGUUAUAACCGGCGAUACCCGAAUGGGGAAACCCAGUGUGAUUCGUCACACUAUCAUUAACUGAAUCCAUAGGUUAAUGAGGCGAACCGGGGGAACUGAAACAUCUAAGUACCCCGAGGAAAAGAAAUCAACCGAGAUUCCCCCAGUAGCGGCGAGCGAACGGGGAGGAGCCCAGAGCCUGAAUCAGCAUGUGUGUUAGUGGAAGCGUCUGGAAAGGCGCGCGAUACAGGGUGACAGCCCCGUACACAAAAGCGCAUGUGCUGUGAGCUCGAUGAGUAGGGCGGGACACGUGGUAUCCUGUCUGAAUAUGGGGGGACCAUCCUCCAAGGCUAAAUACUCCUGACUGACCGAUAGUGAACCAGUACCGUGAGGGAAAGGCGAAAAGAACCCCGGCGAGGGGAGUGAAAAAGAACCUGAAACCGUGUACGUACAAGCAGUGGGAGCACAGGUUUACCUGUGUGACUGCGUACCUUUUGUAU
RNAcentral lists this ribosomal RNA (584 nucleotides) under Salmonella enterica subsp. enterica serovar Typhimurium. Its description in RNAcentral is "bacterial LSU rRNA". It matches the Rfam family "Bacterial large subunit ribosomal RNA", at positions 1 to 613 of the family's 2925-position model. The record is from RNAcentral. RNAcentral also lists the same sequence under 1 other name. Lineage: Bacteria; Pseudomonadati; Pseudomonadota; Gammaproteobacteria; Enterobacterales; Enterobacteriaceae.